GACGAACGCUGGCGGCGUGCUUAACACAUGCAAGUCGAACGGAAAGGCCCUGCUUUUGUGGGGUGCUCGAGUGGCGAACGGGUGAGUAACACGUGAGUAACCUGCCCUUGACUUUGGGAUAACUUCAGGAAACUGGGGCUAAUACCGGAUAGGAGCUCCUGCUGCAUGGUGGGGGUUGGAAAGUUUCGGCGGUUGGGGAUGGACUCGCGGCUUAUCAGCUUGUUGGUUGGGUAGUGGCUUACCAAGGCUUUGACGGGUAGCCGGCCUGAGAGGGUGACCGGACAAAUUGGGACUGAGAUACGGCCCAGAAUCCUACGGGAGGCAGCAGGGGGGAAUAUUGCACAAUGGGAGGAAGCCUGAUGCAGCAACGCCGCGUGCGGGAUGACGGCCUUCGGGUUGUAAACCGCUUUCGCCUGUGACGAAGCGUGAGUGACGGUAAUGGGUAAAGAAGCACCGGCUAACUACGUG
Molecule: ribosomal RNA, 468 nt
Filed under: uncultured bacterium
Lineage: Bacteria
Description: partial 16S ribosomal RNA
Rfam family: Bacterial small subunit ribosomal RNA
Source: RNAcentral